GCCUGGGUGGCUCAGUUGGUUGAGCAUCUGACUUCGGCUCAGGUCAUGAUCUCACGGUUUGUGGGUUCGAGCCCCACAUCGGGCU
This 85-nucleotide transfer RNA is filed under the name Felis catus (domestic cat). It matches the Rfam family "tRNA". Rfam says of the family: Transfer RNA (tRNA) molecules are approximately 80 nucleotides in length. Their secondary structure includes four short double-helical elements and three loops (D, anti-codon, and T loops). The record is from Rfam by way of RNAcentral. RNAcentral also lists the same sequence under 3 other names. Lineage: Eukaryota; Metazoa; Chordata; Mammalia; Carnivora; Felidae.